GUCUACGGCCCAUGCCACCCUGAGUAAGCCUGAUCCCGUCUGAUCUCGGAAGCUAAGCAGGAUCAGACCUGGUUAGUACUUGGAUGGGAGAAAACCGAGGAAGACCUGGUGCUGUAGGCA
RNAcentral lists this ribosomal RNA (120 nucleotides) under Pteropus alecto (black flying fox). Lineage: Eukaryota; Metazoa; Chordata; Mammalia; Chiroptera; Pteropodidae. The record is from RNAcentral.